Long non-coding RNA from Neofelis nebulosa (Clouded leopard), 2313 nucleotides. RefSeq lists it as uncharacterized. NCBI's taxonomy places the organism in Eukaryota, Metazoa, Chordata, Mammalia, Carnivora, Felidae. The record is from RefSeq and is a predicted model, not a curated record. The transcript has 2 exons.
UUCAAAAUGUUUGUUAUUGUUUUUAUAAAUUCAGAGUAACUUCAUCUUAAAAAGUGUAACUUACUUUACAAGCGAGAAUGCUAUUAUAGUUAUUUUCAACUAACCUCUUACUACCCUAAUCCAGAAAAACAUGAAAUUAGACUUUGAAAGUCAUUUGUAUUUUUUCAUUUUGGUCCUUGAGUCUGACGAUUUUUUCAGUGAGGCAUUAAAAAGAAAUUUUGUAAUCAACAGGAUACAAAGUAAGGAUAAUAGUAAAAUUCAUUUAGGGAAAAUGGUUGAUGUUUUUUACUGUGUUCUAGAGGCUACCUGACUAAUCUUAGAUUGUCUUUCUGUUCUAGUUUUAAUAUGCUUAUUUAUAGUGUUUUUGAUUAUAAAAGUAACACAUUAUUAUAGAAAACUUUGGAAAACACACACAUAAAAGAUAAGAAUACUCUGUAAUUGCAUACUACAUAAAUAUCUCUACACUUUACAUUUAAUGUAUUUUUAUGUGUGUGUGUUGUCCACCCAUUGGUAUUUAUGAGUACGUUCUGGGGAUGCUUGACACAGGGUUAACUUUAAUUGGGCCGAAGCAACACAUUUAGACCCUGCAGGCUGUGAGGUUUGUUUGUAGGUUAUCAUUUACCAGCAUCAUCUGAACAUGCACAUUUAUGGGAAGGAGAGGAGUUUUUCUACUCUAAUAUUACUUGGCCAGAAGAUACACUGCCUGUGAAUUGCAUGGGUUUCUUCUUUUAUGUGUAAUUUUUUUUCAGAUGUUUGGGGCCAUCCUGUGUUUAGAGUUUGAUACUUUGCUUUUGCCACUUAACAGAUGAAGUUUUUCCUAUUAGACUUUUUUUUUUUCUUUCUUGGUCAGCUCACGUAGUACAGAUUUGCACGACAAUAAAAUAUUUAGUGGAAUUAAAUGGCUUGCCUUUGAAAAUAUAAACAGAUCGUUUUCAGCAUUUAAUGCAUCUUUGAAAUAAAAAUAAGACAGUAGUAGUAAUUGACCUUUAAGCUCAGUUUAGUUAGUGAUCAUGUUUUAGAGGUUGGGAAUAAAUUUAUUUAGCUUAUUUAAAUUCAUUUUAUACUUACACACCUUUGAAAUAACCAUGCACUUUGAUUAUAACUCUUUGUAAUUAUUUCUAUGUAAAUUUGGUCAUAUAAAAAAUAUAAGAUACUGUUCAAGAAUUUUAGUUUUAAUCAUAUACCAUUUCUCCCAAAUGCUAAAAAAAGACUAAAAUUGUUUCUCCAAAAUAGUUGUUAUAGUUGAAAAUACUUAAUUUUUAAAUAUUGAGAAUUCUUCUUUAACAGGCAAGAAACUGUAGCUUAAUUGCUGUGAAUGAAUGGCACUCGUUCUUAGAAAGCAGUAUGUCCAGUGGGGAGAAACUGGAGAGGUUGGUUACGGCGAGUUUUUACUCAUGCAGCAAUAAUUUUUGCCAUUGGAGAGGUAGAGAGGUCAAGAGGUCAGUAGUUACUUUGAAUAGUAAUACUGUCUUCCUGUCUACAGUAGUUUCUUAAAAAUAAGUAUGAAUUGAAAGUUUGUCCGUGUUCCUUUAUGAAAUUACACCACGUAUAUUGAUUCACGAAUACGAGGAUGAAAUUUGUUUCAGAAUAAAACAGUCGUGUUUUGUCAUUUAAUCUGCCCCUUGUGGGAAGGAACCUUCAGUUUUUGUUUGUUGGUUUAUUUGUUUUGUUUUUAAACCGAGAAGAGGCUUCCCAAGCAAUUAAAAUUUUGCUAUUUGGGGACUCAUUUCUUAACACUACAUAAAGUAUUUGUGUCUCUUAGUUUGUAUGUUAGAAGAAACUUAAGUAGGUUCGUGUGCCUCUGUUCUUUCAAAUUUGGCGAGCCUUGGAUGGAGACUGGUAUUGAUUUCUUAGUCACACCUGAGCCAUGUAAGGGGCUUUCUGCUUAUUUACCUGUUUGUUGCAAAAGAAAUGUUUCUUAGAUUUGUAGAACUACGUUUAUGUUACACAUUGGUGCUCUUUGACCCCUGACUGUGUCGGAUACACAAAUGUAACUUUACCAUGUGUUGUGGAAGGUUUUUUCCCCUGGUAAGAGUUGGUCAUUAAAUUUUUCUGGAAUGUUUCCAGUUUAUAAUGGUCAAAUGCCAUUGAUAAAAACCAAAACAAAACAAAAACUAAUUUGCCUUUGUAGAAUAAUGGAGGUUCGGUUGUGCCUUUUAAAAAAACAAAGAAACAAAACCACAUGACUGAUUUCUUCUUGCACGUGUUGUAGGUGUUCUUAUUCCUUCAUUCUUACAUUUAUUUCAUAAAUACUUACUGAGUGCUGGUUAAAUGUCUGGUACUGGUAUACAUAGUUCCUUGUGUCACAGAGUU